AGAAUAUAAGAACCCGACUCUUAAUUUUUAAAUGCUAAGAAUCGACUGUUACAUAAGAGAUUUAAGAGCCGACUCUUAACUUUUUCAGUUAAAAGUUAAGAGUCGGGUUCUUAUAUUCC
This is a non-coding RNA of Brassica napus (rape), 119 nucleotides long. Lineage: Eukaryota; Viridiplantae; Streptophyta; Magnoliopsida; Brassicales; Brassicaceae. The record is from Rfam.